UCACGCAAGCGAGCACGCAAGCUCGAUUGGGGCGUCGCGAAGGCGUCGCUGGCCGUCGCGUCCCUCGAAGAACAGGAAGGCGCCGUUCGAACACGCCGUGCUGCGAGCUGCCGUAGGCCCAAAGAUACAUCUUUGUCUUGUCGCCGCCUGCGAGCGAGCGCGCAAGCGUGCGGUCGUCGCCUCUCUCUCUCGCU
This 194-nucleotide unclassified non-coding RNA is filed under the name Clavularia viridis. RNAcentral's name for it is "ITS2". The record is from RNAcentral. Lineage: Eukaryota; Metazoa; Cnidaria; Anthozoa; Malacalcyonacea; Clavulariidae.